Molecule: RNA transcript, 1820 nt
Organism: Capsicum annuum
Lineage: Eukaryota; Viridiplantae; Streptophyta; Magnoliopsida; Solanales; Solanaceae
Gene name: cytosolic Fe-S cluster assembly factor NBP35
Exons: 4
Source: RefSeq, a predicted model, not a curated record
AUUUUUAUUUGUUGUUUAUUUUUAAAAUAGAUUUCUACUGUUAUAUUAGUUAAGAUAACUUUUUCUUUUCCCUAAUUUAUCGUUAAUAUUGUCAAAAUGCGAUAACUGAGUAAAAUAAACAAGAAAAUAAAAGUCAAAGGCGGUAUAAAAUAAAAUUCCAUAACCCUAAUACACAAAUUUUACAGCCAUUUCUCUGAACCAUACCUCAACUAUUCACUUUGUCCCCAUAUUGGAAAAUUUGCAAUUCUUGAUUUUGCAGAUAUAUAUAUUAAAGUUCAAAUUCUUAUUAAAGCUUAUUUCUUCUGCUUGUUCACAAAUCUAAAAAGAGGAAAGAAGAAAAUGGACAACGGUGAAAUCCCAGAAAAUGCUCCUGAACAUUGUCCAGGUCCACAAUCUGAGACAGCAGGGAAAUCCGAUGCUUGUCAAGGAUGUCCUAAUCAAGAAGUUUGUGCUACUGCUCCUAAAGGACCUGAUCCUGACUUGGUGACAAUAGUAGAAAGAAUGGUAACUGUGAAGCACAAAAUACUGGUUUUAUCUGGCAAAGGUGGAGUUGGUAAGAGUACAUUCUCAGCUCAACUUGCUUUUGCAUUGGCGGCUAUGGAUUUCCAAGUAGGUCUUCUUGACAUUGAUAUAUGUGGCCCCAGCAUCCCCAAGAUGCUUGGUCUCGAAGGUCAAGAGAUUCACCAGAGUAAUAUUGGAUGGUCACCUGUUUAUGUUGAGUCUAACCUUGGGGUUAUGUCAAUUGGUUUCAUGCUCCCCAACCCCGAUGAAGCUGUCAUAUGGAGAGGGCCUCGCAAGAAUGGUCUAAUUAAACAAUUCCUCAAAGAAGUUUUCUGGGGAGAACUCGAUUUUCUUGUGGUUGAUGCUCCACCGGGGACAUCAGAUGAGCAUAUUUCAAUCGUUCAGUUCCUCCAAGCAACUGGAAUAGAUGGUGCAGUUAUAGUCACAACCCCACAACAGGUAUCUCUGAUAGACGUGAGGAAAGAAGUUAGUUUCUGCAAGAAAGUCGGGGUGGAGGUUCUCGGUGUUGUUGAGAACAUGAGUGGUCUUUCCCAGGCACUCUCAGAAUUCAAAUUCACGAGAAUAACAGAGACUGGCGAGCAGAAAGACAUGACCGAGUGGGCCAUGUCUUAUAUCAAAGAAAAUGCCCCAGAAAUGCUGAACUUGAUUGCCUGUAGUGAAGUUUUUGAUAGUCGUGGCGGAGGUGCUGCAAAGAUGUGUAAUGAUAUGGGCGUCCCUUUUCUCGGGAAAGUACCACUGGAUCCUCAACUUUGUAAAGCAGCUGAAGAAGGACGAUCUUGCUUUUCAGAUGAUAAAUGUCGCGCAAGUGCCCCUGCACUCAAGAUGAUAAUUGAGAAGAUGUUGGCUCAGAAAAAGAUCUCAACAGAGAAUGGAGCAUAGUAUUUAUUACCUUCUUUAGCUCUGUACCUUUUCUUUGAUCAAGUUCUGGGGUACUUGUGAGCUAACGUUUACUCUAGAUACGGAUGUAUUAUACAGUUUCUAGCGAUUUUUAUACGAUGAUCUUUUAAACGGUUACUCUCUGGAACAAACUGCUCCUGCAUAAUUUAACCGGUACUUGUUCGAUGUUUGUGUUGGUGGAAGAUAACAGAUACUCGGUGGAUUAGUUGUUGUGUGCAAGUUGAUCCAAGAAGAAUGCUGCUAACCAAGAAAAUAAGAAUUAUUUAAAAUAUUUUCUUCGAGACAUUGAUGAGAUCUCCCGUUGUUGUGUUGUGCUUUUCUUUCUUUAAGCUGAAGAUCUUUAUUGAAAAUAAUCUCCUAUCUUUCAGGUAGGAAUAAUGUCUUCAUAUGCCUUCAUACUC